GUGGGGAAUAUUGGACAAUGGGCGAAAGCCUGAUCCAGCCAUGCCGCGUGUGUGAAGAAGGUCUUCGGAUUGUAAAGCACUUUAAGUUGGGAGGAAGGGCAGUAAGUUAAUACCUUGCUGUUUUGACGUUACCGACAGAAUAAGCACCGGCUAACUUCGUACCAGCAGCCGCGGUAAUACGAAGGGUGCAAGCGUUAAUCGGAAUUACUGGGCGUAAAGCGCGCGUAUGUGGUUUUGUAAGUUGGAGGUGAAAUCCCCGGGCUCAACCUGGGAACUGCCUCCAAAACUGCAUGACUAGAGUACGGUAGAGGGUAGUGGAAUUUCCUGUGUAGCGGUGAAAUGCGUAGAUAUAGGAAGGAACACCAGUGGCGAAGGCGACUACCUGGACUGAUACUGACACUGAGGUGCGAAAGCGUGGGGAGCAAACAGGAUUAGAUACCCCGGUAGUCC
This 450-nucleotide ribosomal RNA is filed under the name uncultured bacterium. RNAcentral describes it as "partial 16S ribosomal RNA". It matches the Rfam family "Bacterial small subunit ribosomal RNA", at positions 354 to 796 of the family's 1533-position model. The record is from RNAcentral.